UACGUAGGGACCGAGCGUUGUCCGGAAUCAUUGGGCGUAAAGAGCGUGUAGGCGGCCAGACAGGUCAGCUGUGAAAACUCGAGGCUCAACCUCGAGACGUCGGUUGAAACCGUCUGGCUAGAGUCCGGAAGAGGAGAGUGGAAUUCCCGGUGUAGCGGUGAAAUGCGCAGAUAUCGGGAAGAACACCCGUGGCGAAGGCGGCUCUCUGGGACGGUACUGACGCUGAGACGCGAAAGCGUGGGGAGCGAACAGG
RNAcentral lists this ribosomal RNA (253 nucleotides) under uncultured bacterium. RNAcentral describes it as "partial 16S ribosomal RNA". It matches the Rfam family "Bacterial small subunit ribosomal RNA", at positions 524 to 776 of the family's 1533-position model. The record is from RNAcentral.